RNAcentral lists this transfer RNA (72 nucleotides) under Camelus bactrianus (Bactrian camel). It matches the Rfam family "tRNA". From Rfam's summary of the family: Transfer RNA (tRNA) molecules are approximately 80 nucleotides in length. The record is from Rfam by way of RNAcentral. Lineage: Eukaryota; Metazoa; Chordata; Mammalia; Artiodactyla; Camelidae. RNAcentral also lists the same sequence under 2 other names.
GAGGGUAUAGCUCAGUGGCAGAGUGCUUGCCUGGCAUGCACGAGGUCCUGGGUUCAAUCCCCAGUACCUCCA